RNAcentral lists this ribosomal RNA (404 nucleotides) under Aegla manuinflata. RNAcentral's name for it is "partial 16S ribosomal RNA". The record is from RNAcentral. Lineage: Eukaryota; Metazoa; Arthropoda; Malacostraca; Decapoda; Aeglidae.
CAUUUGUUUUUUAAUUGAAGACUUGUAUGAAUGGCUGAACGAGAAAAUAACUGUCUCUUUAAAAAUCUUGAAUUUUACCUUUAAGUGAAAAGGCUUAAAUAAAUUUAGGGGACGAUAAGACCCUAUAAAUCUUUAUAUUAUUUUUCUUUAAAUUUCAAAUUAUAUAUUAAAAGAAAUAAAAGAAAAAAAUAUUAUAUUGGGGAGAUAAGAAUAUAAUUUUUAACUGUUUUAAAAAUAAAACAAUAAUUUUUGAUUAAAAAAAUUGAUCCUUUUUAAAGAUUUGAAGAUUAAGUUACUUUAGGGAUAACAGCGUAAUUUUUUUUGAGAGUUCUUAUCGAAAAAAAAGUUUGCGACCUCGAUGUUGAAUUAAAAUAUCCUUAUAAGUGCAGAAGCUAUAAAGGAAA